Molecule: long non-coding RNA, 1154 nt
Organism: Brachypodium distachyon (stiff brome)
Lineage: Eukaryota; Viridiplantae; Streptophyta; Magnoliopsida; Poales; Poaceae
Exons: 2
Source: RefSeq, a predicted model, not a curated record
UGUCUAUCCCCUCCCCAUCUCUCGUUUCUGUUGUUUUCUCCCCGUCGCUUCUCCCUCUCUCUCUCUCUCCCAUUUUCCCCUCCCGGCUUCUCUUCUUCCCCUCCCCAAAUCCUGAGCACCUCCCCAAAUCCCGAACUCCGCGGCGCCAGAACAGGGCGCAGAGGUGAAGCAGGGCGCAGAAGCGGAGCAGGAUGUGGCGCUGGUGUAGCCGUGGUGCAAGAGAAGGGCACGUUGGCGGAGCAGGGCGCGGAGGCGAUGCCGGGUGCGGAGGCGGAGCAGGCCAGGGCGCCAGGGUGGAAGGAGCGCGGCGAAGGCGGAGAAGGGCGUGGAGGUGGUGAAGGCUGCGGUGGCGGAGCAGGGCGAUGCAGGCUAUGGUGGCGUGGAGGCGGUGCUGGCCGCGGCGGCGGAGCCGGAGUAGGGAAGGCGGCAUAGAAAUUCACGGCGACGUGCGAAUUGGGGUGGAGCUUGAAGGUGAGUGGCGCUGCUGGAUGGACGCUGCGACGAAGCCGAAGUAGGGCGGGCGGCAGAGACGUCCAUGACGACGAGCGAGUCGGGGUGGAGCACUGGAGCUUGAAGGUGAGUCCACUGCUGGAUGGACGCGGCGGUGGACUGGGGUUGGAGGGCGGGCGCAGUGUCGGAGCAGGGCGUGGUCGCAGCCGACCAUAUGGGAGAUUGUCAGGGUUUCCUUGCCUUGAUUUCUGAUGGCCCAUGGCUGUUUCCUAAUUCAUCAGCCGCGAAUUGCAGCAAGAUGAGGGGGCUACUGAGAUGGGUCAAGCGUUCAUCUCGACGACCUUCUUCUGGAUUGAUGCGGCCGACAGCACGCCACCCUCAGGCUCGAUGGCCUUCUUUUGUAGAUCGAUGCGGCCUUCUUCUUGGAUCGACGCUGCUGUACUCGGUAUCGGUCAUCGACAAGGUGCGGUGGUUUACAGGGUGUCGCCAUGUCUCUGAACUUGACACCGUCGCCACCUAAGACGCCGGCCUUGAGCUCACAGCCAGCCUGGUACUUAUCAUACAAUGUGCCCACCGUACAGCCGACCAUGAAGAACUUGCGAACUUGUAAAUUUGAUCCAUUGAUGUCUAACUUCAAAUCUGUGUUCUAAUUGCUGCUUAGCUUUUUUGGAGAAUUAAUUGCUGCAUAGCAUUUACAAGCUAAA